AAUGGACGGGACAAAGGGUCGCGAUCCCGCGAGUGUGAGCUAACUCUAAAAACCCGUCCUCAAUUCGGAUUGCAGGCUACAACUCGCCGAUUCAUGGAU
Molecule: non-coding RNA, 99 nt
Filed under: Gossypium hirsutum (cotton)
Lineage: Eukaryota; Viridiplantae; Streptophyta; Magnoliopsida; Malvales; Malvaceae
Source: Rfam by way of RNAcentral